RNAcentral lists this transfer-messenger RNA (373 nucleotides) under Nesterenkonia flava. It matches the Rfam family "transfer-messenger RNA". Rfam says of the family: Bacterial tmRNA, also known as 10Sa RNA or SsrA, is named for its dual tRNA and mRNA-like properties. The record is from RNAcentral. Lineage: Bacteria; Bacillati; Actinomycetota; Actinomycetes; Micrococcales; Micrococcaceae.
GGGGCCGAUCGGUUUCGACGAUCUGAGUUGAUCGUGGGGAAGCGUGUCGUGGACGUCAAGUGACCACGUAAAUACCCCUUGGCAACCCAAUAAGUGCCGAAUCUAAGCGCACUGACUUCGCCCUCGCUGCCUGAUCAGCGACGCGAGUCUGUCAGCCUGAGUUUGCUAUCGACUCAGUGUCUGGCAUCAGCUAGAUAGCCACUGGUCAGCUGCCUUCGUCGCAGGGGCAGCUGACGAGAUUCUUUGCGACUGGGCCUGUCAGGUGCUUGUCUGCGUGACACCUGGGGCCGAGCAACACUGUGAGCAGACUGCACACGGAGAAGUCCACGUGAAUCCAGAUCGGACGCGGGUUCAAUUCCCGCCGGCUCCACUU